CCCGCACCGAGGCCACCCUUUUCCUUUUUUUCCCAGGGGUCAGGCCGGGAACUCUAAGGAGACUGCCAGUGACAAACUGGAGGAAGGUGGGGAUGACGUCAAGUCAUCAUGGCCCUUACGACCAGGGCUACACACGUGCUACAAUGGUGCGUACAAAGGGAAGCGACCUCGCGAGAGCAAGCUGAUCUCAAAAAGCGGAUCGUAGUCCGGAUUGGAGUCUGCAACUCGACUCCAUGAAGUCGGAAUCGCUAGUAAUCG
This 258-nucleotide ribosomal RNA is filed under the name uncultured bacterium. Its description in RNAcentral is "partial 16S ribosomal RNA". It matches the Rfam family "Bacterial small subunit ribosomal RNA", at positions 1086 to 1344 of the family's 1533-position model. The record is from RNAcentral.